GACGGACGCUGGCGGCGUGCUUAACACAUGCAAGUCGAACGGAAAGGCCCCAGCUUGCUGGGGUCCUCGAGUGGCGAACGGGUGAGUAACACGUGGGUGAUCUGCCCUGCACUCUGGGAUAAGCCUGGGAAACUGGGUCUAAUACCGGAUAGGGCCGUGCUUUAGUGUGUGCGGUGGAAAGUUUUUCGGUGCAGGAUGAGCCCGCGGCCUAUCAGCUUGUUGGUGGGGUAAUGGCCUACCAAGGCGGCGACGGGUAGCCGGCCUGAGAGGGUGUACGGCCACAUUGGGACUGAGACACGGCCCAGACUCCUACGGGAGGCAGCAGUGGGGAAUAUUGCACAAUGGGCGCAAGCCUGAUGCAGCGACGCCGCGUGGGGGAUGACGGCCUUCGGGUUGUAAACCCCUUUCGGCAGGGACGAAGCUUUUGUGACGGUACCUGCAUAAGAAGCACCGGCUAACUACGUG
This 465-nucleotide ribosomal RNA is filed under the name uncultured bacterium. RNAcentral describes it as "partial 16S ribosomal RNA". It matches the Rfam family "Bacterial small subunit ribosomal RNA", at positions 28 to 507 of the family's 1533-position model. The record is from RNAcentral.